RNAcentral lists this long non-coding RNA (497 nucleotides) under Brachypodium distachyon (stiff brome). RNAcentral describes it as "long non-coding RNA (BDIS_LNC001975)". Lineage: Eukaryota; Viridiplantae; Streptophyta; Magnoliopsida; Poales; Poaceae. The record is from RNAcentral.
GUGUAUGUUCUUCUAUAAUUAUAUCAUAUAUAGUUCCCACUGAGAAUGUAUUUCCUAUUUGAGAUGCUUGAUGAUCAACAGUCAACGAGGCUGCCAAUCAGACCCAUAGCCCCGUGCAAAGAAGAUAAAUGUUCUGACUUAUCUGUGUUGAUUUAUGCCCAGCUGGGUCAGCAGCAGGCUCAAAGUUUAGGUAUCCAGCGCCGGUUGUACCAAUCGUUGACAAUCUUCUUCUUGCUUCAAACUCAUAAUCUCCAAUGAGCCCUGUGGCAAUAUUGCCUUUGUGGUGCACUUCAAUCUACAAUGAUAAAGUGAGAAAAGAGUACAGAAUGGUAACAGUUAUCCUAAGUAUAUAGAGAAGAAAAAUAAAUAAAGGAUGAUUAGCAACACGAACCUCCAAGUGAUCAUGGUCUUCUUCUUCUUCAUCAUCGAAAGCAGUAAGCAAAGCUGCAGAAGUCAGAAACACAGGAAGAUAAAAAAAAUAAGGAAUUGUAUCAAUA